Molecule: ribosomal RNA, 548 nt
Rfam family: 5.8S ribosomal RNA (bases 171-324)
UUCCGUAGGUGAACCUGCGGAGGGAUCAUUACCGAGUUUACAACUCCCAAACCCCAUGUGAACAUACCUGUUUCGUUCCCUCGGCGGUGUCCGGCAACGGCCCGCCAGAGGACCCAACAAACUCUUUUGAAUUUUUCAGUAUCUUCUGAGUAAAAAAAACAAUAAAUCAAAACUUUCAACAACGGAUCUCUUGGUUCUGGCAUCGAUGAAGAACGCAGCGAAAUGCGAUAAGUAAUGUGAAUUGCAGAAUUCAGUGAAUCAUCGAAUCUUUGAACGCACAUUGCGCCCGCCAGUAUUCUGGCGGGCAUGCCUGUUCGAGCGUCAUUUCAACCCUCAAGCUCUGCUUGGUGUUGGGGAUCGGCAAGGCGUCCUCCGGGUCGCGCCGUCCCCCAAAUAUAGUGGCGGUCUCGCUGUAGCUUCCUCUGCGUAGUAAUACACCUCGCUCUGGAGUCUCGGUGCGACCACGCCGUAAAACCCCCAACUUUUUUCUGGUUGACCUCGAAUCAGGUAGGACUACCCGCUGAACUUAAGCAUAUCAAUAAGCGGAG